Molecule: ribosomal RNA, 445 nt
Filed under: uncultured bacterium
Lineage: Bacteria
Description: bacterial SSU rRNA
Rfam family: Bacterial small subunit ribosomal RNA
Source: RNAcentral
AUUGAACGCUGGCGGCAGGCCUAACACAUGCAAGUCGAGCGGAAACGAGUUAUCUGAACCUUCGGGGAACGAUAACGGCGUCGAGCGGCGGACGGGUGAGUAAUGCCUAGGAAAUUGCCCUGAUGUGGGGGAUAACCAUUGGAAACGAUGGCUAAUACCGCAUAAUACCUUCGGGUCAAAGAGGGGGACCUUCGGGCCUCUCGCGUCAGGAUAUGCCUAGGUGGGAUUAGCUAGUUGGUGAGGUAAUGGCUCACCAAGGCGACGAUCCCUAGCUGGUCUGAGAGGAUGAUCAGCCACACUGGAACUGAGACACGGUCCAGACUCCUACGGGAGGCAGCAGUGGGGAAUAUUGCACAAUGGGCCAAGCCUGAUGGCCAGCCGCGUGUUGAAGAGGCCUUUGGUUAAAGCACUUUCAGUCGUGAGGAGUAGUGUAGUUAAUAGCUGC